UCGUGCCGAAGCUAACGCAAUCACAAUCCCCCCUGGAGAGUGGUCGCAGGCUGAAACUCAAAGGAAUUGACGGGGGCCAGCACAAGCGGUGGAGCAUGUGUUUUAUUUGACGCAACGGAAGAACCCUCCCUGGGCUUAAAUGUAGAGGAAUCUUUUAGAAAUAUGGCGCUAGCAAUAGGCCUUAUAUAGGUGCUGCAUGCUGUCUCAGCUCGUGUCGUGAGAUGUUGGGUUAAGUCCCGCAAGAGCGCAACCCUUAUCUCCAGUUGCUCCAUUUAGUUGAGCCUCUGGGAAACCCCUCGGAUAACGGGGAGGAAGGUGGGGAGACGUCAAGUCUCAUGGCCUUUAUGUCCAGGGCUACACACUUGCUCAAUGGCCGUCCAAACCGUCGCGAACCCUGAGGGGAGCCAAUCAAAAAACCCCCUUCAGUUCGGAUGAGUCUCAACUGAUUCGAAGCUGCCCAAUGAGUU
Molecule: ribosomal RNA, 467 nt
Filed under: bacterium
Lineage: Bacteria
Description: bacterial SSU rRNA
Rfam family: Bacterial small subunit ribosomal RNA
Source: RNAcentral